CAGGCUCCCACUACUCAGAGCACUGCUCACACUAGAUGGGAUAAUGGCGCAGGAGGGGAUGGCUGCCGUAUUACGGGCUCCUAGCCAACUGUGCUAUUUUGUUAGUUUUUUUGCAUUGUUUGUAACUCUUUUUGUACAUGAUGUUGCUGCUACCACCUCUUAUGACCAAAAAAGCUUCUGGACAUCAGAACAAUGAUUACUCACCUCGAACUGGAAGAAGAUUCUUUUCUUUAAUGAGUCCGACGUGAAGGAUAUACUGCUUUGUCAUGACAAGGCCCAAAUCCCCGCCAUCAGCGUGAAGAAAAGACAGAGAAAAAGGGGAAGGAGGGCGGGGUGCCUUGUAAGAAUUUGCUGACGAGUAGAGACGUGGCUGAAUGACGACAUGGAUAAUAUAGAGCUGGCUCGCUUCUCCGUGUAUCGGCAGGACAGAGCAGCUACGUCUGCUAGUGACUGACACCAUGGAGCCUGAGGAGAAUGAAGAGAGUCCCCAGCUGACAGCCCAGACCAACAAGGAGACCCUGGUUCCUAUCAUAAAGAAGCAUGUGAAACGUCAGAGUAUGGUAGUCAGUGAUGAGGGAAGAGUUUAUGCAAGUCUCUCACAGGAAGUCUACAGGCAUGUGAAGGUCAACCAUUAUCAGAAUUAUGUAGACCCGCUUACAGGUCUGCAUACUCAGAAUAUCGAGAGGGCGUGGGAGACUUACAAGAAGGAAGUGUGGCGUCUGCGUGUAAACCGUUCAGAGAAGUUCAUAAAGAGGCAGCUCUGCUUCAUAGAGUGGAGAUACUGGUUGGGCAGGAGACAAACAUGGAGUCCUUGGUAGACUUUUU
RNAcentral lists this long non-coding RNA (825 nucleotides) under Salmo salar (Atlantic salmon). RNAcentral's name for it is "lncRNA (ENSSSAG00000115123.1)". Lineage: Eukaryota; Metazoa; Chordata; Actinopteri; Salmoniformes; Salmonidae. The record is from RNAcentral.